AAGUCCCGCAACGAGCGCAACCCUUGUCCUAGUUGCCAGCACUUCGGGUGGGAACUCUAGGGAGACUGCCGGUGACAAACCGGAGGAAGGUGGGGACGACGUCAAGUCAUCAUGCCCCUUAUGUCCAGGGCUGCACGCAUGCUACAAUGGCAAGUACAACGAGUCGCAAUACCGCGAGGUGGAGCAAAUCUCUUAAAGCUUGUCUCAGUUCGGAUAGGAGUCUGCAACUCGACUCCUUGAAGUUGGAGUCGCUAGUAAUCGCAAAUCAGCAAAGUUGCGGUGAAUACGUUCUCGGGGUUU
RNAcentral lists this ribosomal RNA (300 nucleotides) under uncultured bacterium. Its description in RNAcentral is "bacterial SSU rRNA". It matches the Rfam family "Bacterial small subunit ribosomal RNA", at positions 1082 to 1382 of the family's 1533-position model. The record is from RNAcentral.